This 147-nucleotide unclassified non-coding RNA is filed under the name uncultured Boletales. Its description in RNAcentral is "sequence contains ITS1". The record is from RNAcentral. Lineage: Eukaryota; Fungi; Basidiomycota; Agaricomycetes; Boletales.
UCGAAUGGAAAGGACUGUAGCUGGCUCUCUGAGCAUUGUGCACGUCUACCUAUACUACACACCUGUGCACCUGUUGUAGGUUCUCGAAAGAGGAUCUAUGUUUUUUAUAACCCACAUGUACCGUAUGGAGUGAAUGAUAAAAUUAUA